AAUCGCAUAAAAAAUAAAAUAUUAGUUUCG
Molecule: transfer RNA, 30 nt
Filed under: Drosophila melanogaster (fruit fly)
Lineage: Eukaryota; Metazoa; Arthropoda; Insecta; Diptera; Drosophilidae
Description: tRNA Lys
Source: RNAcentral